This is a long non-coding RNA of Raphanus sativus (radish), 1067 nucleotides long. RefSeq lists it as uncharacterized. NCBI's taxonomy places the organism in Eukaryota, Viridiplantae, Streptophyta, Magnoliopsida, Brassicales, Brassicaceae. The transcript is spliced from 2 exons. The record is from RefSeq and is a predicted model, not a curated record.
GUUAAGAGACUAAAUAUAAACGGCGUUCCCUAGGGUUUUCGAUUUUAGUGGAGAGAUUUUUAACAGUUAAGACCCAAUGGGCUUUAGGCCCACUUGUUCGAUUAAUAUCUUGGGUUAAUUCUUUUGGUUUACUAAAGCUAAAACAAAAUCGGCCCUAUGAAUGAUGGGAAUAUGGAAUCUGUGGUUCUCGUGUGACAUCAGUGAAUCCCGAAUUUUGCUACAGAAGUUGAUUAACGAAUGACCCCACACGGUUUAGAAAAUCUUUGUCCUCUGUUUUAGCUAAGUUGGAGUAUAGAUUUGGUUCAAGUUUUUUUUGUUGUUGUUGUUGUUGCAGCUUGGUCUCUUUGUGAUGGAAGUAGUAAACAGAACAUGUUUGGAUUCUUGAAAUUUGGGUUUGUUUUCUUGAAUAUUGCAGAUCUCGUUCAAGAUCAAGAUCUUCUCUACCGCCUCCUCAUGUGUGUCCAUAAGGAAGUAAAGAAACUUCUAGGACUUUUGAAAGCCACAUCUUGUCUGAUCUUCAUCAUCAAACGAAAUAGACGACCGAGUGACCGACUGUAGUAGAAACAAACAAAAAAAAAACUAAAUGUCAUUUUACGUGUUUAUUUAGGUCAAAGAUGUUGUAACAAAACUAAGAAUGAGAUGAGACGAUGAGAACCAAAAGCAUAGAUAGCUUAUUCUUCUUAUUGAUUUUUAAAUUAGCCUUUUUAACAUAAAACAAACUGCCUCCUACUUUCUUCGGAGGACUUGUAACAACUUGAAACAAACGUCUCUUGACUAGGAGCUUAUUGCGACAACUGACUCUAAAGACCACGUACGUACGUACGUCUCCCAUAAACCAACAAUAGGAGCUUAAUUAUUUUCUACACGCAUACUUAACUAGACGAACAAGUCAUCCACGCAUGGGUAUCAAUAUGGUGGUCCAGGUGGAUGUGAAGGUCUUGAAAACAAGGUAGCUCCGGGUCCGGGCGGUGGAGGUCCUGGAGGAGGCGGUGGAGGAGGAGGGCGAGGCUCUGGGUGCGGUGGUCUUGGUGGCGGUGGGUGCAGGUAGAUAGGUGGAGGAGGAGGAG